UGAUACACAGAGAUUCUUAAAAGAGGAGGG
RNAcentral lists this non-coding RNA (30 nucleotides) under Mus musculus (house mouse). Lineage: Eukaryota; Metazoa; Chordata; Mammalia; Rodentia; Muridae. The record is from RNAcentral.